RNAcentral lists this transfer-messenger RNA (330 nucleotides) under Geminicoccaceae bacterium. It matches the Rfam family "Alphaproteobacteria transfer-messenger RNA". From Rfam's summary of the family: Bacterial tmRNA, also known as 10Sa RNA or SsrA, is named for its dual tRNA and mRNA-like properties. Its role is to liberate the mRNA from a stalled ribosome. Lineage: Bacteria; Pseudomonadati; Pseudomonadota; Alphaproteobacteria; Geminicoccales; Geminicoccaceae. The record is from RNAcentral.
CCUCUUUAAGCCGCGUUGGCAAGGCGCUAUAUUGGGGAUGCCGGUUCGCCGGCUAUGGCGAUAAACGCAGUCCGGAAUAGGCGUUGCGGACCCGGGGGCAGAGCCCGGCGCCUCCACCAUCUUCUCCAUUCCCGCGGGAUCGGAGCGUAUGGGGGCGAAUCAGGAUCGACGUGCGUAGUAAAGGGAUAUGCUUUCGCCCGGCAUGGUAUCCGCCGUUAUCGGGCCGAACACGACAAGUGCCAACGACAAUCGUCAGGCAUUCGCUGUCGCUGCCUAAUCGGCAAUGACAAGCGCGGCGGACGGGAGCCGGGCAACAGAAUCCCGUCGAAA